This is a long non-coding RNA of Numida meleagris (helmeted guineafowl), 3798 nucleotides long. RefSeq lists it as uncharacterized. Lineage: Eukaryota; Metazoa; Chordata; Aves; Galliformes; Numididae. The record is from RefSeq and is a predicted model, not a curated record. The transcript is spliced from 3 exons.
GGGGGUCUGCCCGCUGAGUCCUUCCUCACUGCUGCGGGUUUGGUUGCCAAAUCCAGGUGUCCUGGAGGACAGUGAACUUCCAUUUAAAUAUGCUGCAAGAAGGAGAGAUGGCAUUUGAGUGUUCCCCCAAAGCUGCUGUGGAAGCAGCACAACCUGCUGGAGCAUUUCCCAGUGUAGGUCACCUGGCUCUGGGACAUCCGACCACUUGUUGCUUCCUCACCUUACACUGGCAGAAUACCUAACUGUACCUGCAUGAACCUCAUUUCUCCUUCACUUCAAAAAACACACGAGCCUUCUUCUGCUUGAUACUCUUUACUGCCACACAGAUGCUCAUCCAUAGGAAAUUCCCAUUUAUUUUCAUCUGUAAGGCCCCGUUACAUUGACAAACUGAUCCAUGUGGCAACAAGGCAUCCCAUUCCCGCAUCUUGGUAACAGACAAGUAGGAGGCCAACACCACUUCUAUGCAGGAAGCCUGCCCCUCAAAUCGCCCAUCUCACAACAUGGCUUCUUUGUCAGCAUUUCCAGCUGAACUGGAAGUCAAAUUAACGGUUACAGCAGACGGACACCUCUUCAAAGAGCUCUAGCACAGAUCAUCAGCACUGUCUGUCAACUUCUCUCUCUCCGAAUAAUUUUCUUGGCAGUAGCUGCCGCAUCGAAGUCAUGCAUACCUAUGAGAGUCUUACACAUUGUACUGAACAUUAUGCAGUGGUAUCACUGGCCGCGUGGUUUUGGCAGGGAUUGGAAAGCCAUCGAGCCCCUGCUUUUUCUCAGCCUGCCCUAUCGCAAGCAGAAUUUAUUGUUGCUGGGAAACUGCUGCCGGGACAUUCACUGGACAUUGUGUCUUCCUUAUCUUUUACUCUUCAAGACACUACAUAUUCCCCAUUCUUUAUCUAAUUCCCUCAUUACUAUUCCAUCCAUUGCUCGCACCUUCAUAGCUCCCCCAGUCACCUCCACGUGGUCUGGCUGCCUUAUUUCCUGCCACCGGCUUCAAAUUCCGCUUGAAUGCAUGUUCCUUUUACUGCAAGGAAGGAAAAUAAACCUGUGCAGAUGGAAACCUAGAUCUUCUGCUGUUCAGGAAAGCGGGCUCUACGCGAUUUCUGCUAGAGGAAUUACUCAGGCUUGGAGAAGACUGAUGAACAUGAUGUCAAGGACAGCUGUCAAAAUGAGAAAUGCCCACUGUAGCUUUCUCUACGCUUCAGUCAGUCGCAUUUGCUAUUACUUCUCUGUAUUAUAUGCACUGACAUGGUCCAAAAUGGAUACAGAGACUUAGCAAAGACCAAAGGCAAGUUUUUGCUGUUUCAGGAGAGAAACGUCUUGCUCAGCACACUCAAAGGGGGUCACUCCUCUAAGUGCCAUUCUUCUAGGGAAUAAAUGAACAAGUAAAGAAAAAUGUUGCUUUGAGCUGUAAUUCGCCCCCAAUCACUUUAAAGCUGAAAUUAAAAUGAAAAGAUUUCCAUAAUGCCAUUAACAAACUGCUUUAGUACAGGUAAAAUAACAAAGACCACUCCUUGGUAUCUCAGGACACAAUGGACUCAUUCAUUGCUAGCAACUUAGCAAGUGCUCAUGGUGACAGUUAUGGGGAAAAGGGAAACUGGAGAAAGGCAGGAGGCACAGCAUUUGAUAGGUUCAGAAAUCAGAAACAAUGCUCAAAGAUGUACAGCCCUUCUUUAGCAGAAGGCAUGCAAAAAGCACAGGGAUCUCAUUUGUUGGACGGCUGGUCAAGGCUUACUGUUCAGCAGAUGCAUACAGUAAGCAUGUUUCCUCUGCACUGAACAAUUGUCCUUCCUUACAGGCAUUUGCUUUUGAUGCUUAGCCGAAGUGGCUCGUUGGGAGAUCAGAGACAGAGAAACUCAGAUGGCUGGCUUGCUUCUUCUGUUUCCUUUGGCAAGAAGUUGGGUGCUAAUUUAAAACAAAAUGUUGGCUUUUUUAUGGGGUGUGUGGGCUGGCAGCCUUAUGCUUGCAAAGGCAUGCAAGGCUACAGGCCAUGUUUUUGGGGUUUUGUUUCAGUAAACCCAAAAGGUUCAUUUUUUCCAUUUUCACCAACCUAAAUGCUGUGUAGAAGUUAAUGACUGUGCCUCAGCUGCUGUUCAAGAUGAUGGCUGAAUUCCUAGGGCCAUCUUAUUUUAUGACUCCGAGUACCCAACAACACUUUUUUUUUUUUUUUUUUUUACAUCAGAAAACCACCCCUAGUGACAACAUCUAUUGCUGCAAACUCCUGUAGGGAAGCUACUGGAACGCUUCAAUCUGCCAGCUUUGACACUUACCAUGUAGUUAAUUCCUUCUGACUGCACCAUAUGCUUUGCCAUUAUUACAGUGGUGCCAGGGCUUUUCUUUCUCAUCUACUGAUUGCAAUGAUGUACGUUGUACAUGUCCUAAGAACCUGCAAGAGUCACUCCAUUUUGAGCUGUUCCUCUCUAUCUUGGCUGUUCCUGUUGUGAUGCUGGGUUUGACUGUGCAAACCAGCAGCAGCCUGACUCAAUUAGUAUCUUUGUGCCUAGGAAUAGCUAAUUAGUAGCUCUACCUGGAUUUAUCCACCUGGACAGGGAGCAAACUAAGGCAUGAAUUUACAGAGUGCUACUUCUCAGCAGUAAUUCUCUUCAUGGGAGCUCCUAGAGUGCCCCAUCAAAUGCAAGCUUGUUCACUUUCCAAGGGGAGUAAAUGCCCUGCACAUAACAAACACUUACAUAAAACAUUCUCCUUGCAUUCCCUACAAAGACAACAUCGAAAAGGUAAUUUAGGUAUAUGGGGGUCAGGGAGAAUCACUUUCUAAGUGAUAUUUGCUCAUUUUGCUCUCCAUUUGCUCUCCAUGAGAUGUUCCCUAAUUAAAGCAAUUAGUUAGCACCUGCAUUGGGUCCAGCUUACCUUUGCAGCCAUUAUGAAGAGCAGCCAGGGCAGCAGGAGCUCCUGCUCCAUCCAGCUGACAUGCAUGCAGCUUCCAGGCUGGGAUCCAUGCUCUGUGACGGAGAGAGCAGGGCAGCCACCAGCUCAACCCCAAACCAUGUGGACAAAGAACUGAUGAUGACAGGGAGGGUCCUGGCAAUUGCCAGCUCUGCUCAUUGUCUAAAUUCACUCAUUCUCUGCAGUUUUUUAGACUCUGCAGUAAGAGUGAGAGCUGGGAGGUGCCUUUUCAGCAGGCUCACCCACUGGAGAUGGAGGUGUAACCAGCUUAGACUUAGUCACUCCCUCCUGGACCUCGCCAAUGAAGGAUCCUUCUUGUUUUCUUGCAACUCCACAUGCCCACUGACCUGCUCUGCUCAGCCUCCCGAGGCCUGGCAUACAAGGCAAUGAGUAGCUUGAAUAAUUACAUUAGUUAGUGACAGAAUAGGGAACACAGAAGUCUUCCAAGUAACUUUCUGUAACGUCAAAUUAACUUAGCGUUGCAUUUAAACUUCUACUCUGUCAUGUACUUGGUAGAGUGUGAGUCCGGCAUUUUGUUGGAGCAUGUCAAUACCUUGAUGUCGCCCAUCUUCUGAGUCAGCUGUGCACAGUGUAGAAAACUGAAUAGAAAUAUUGUAUAGAAAUAUUGUAAGGAAUACUGUUCUUUGAAGCAGUGGAUGGCAUUUGAAAGCCAUUUAGUUCUUUAAAGAGCAGAAUUUUAUGAAGUAUUUCAAGGGAACUUUAGAGCUAUUAUUUCUUACUUUGCCAUUAAAACCUGGAGGUUUGAAAAUUAAUAGCUGUAAGACCUUUGAUGCAAAAAUCUCUGAAUAAAAUAAAUUCCGAAGGCUAUUUUCACACUGAGUUAUAUUAAAACUUCAACUCCCUUGUUAAUUCAAUGCACAUCUCAGAAAUUAUCUUAAA